AUUGAACGCUGGCGGCAGGCCUAACACAUGCAAGUCGAACGGUAACAGGAAUCAGCUUGCUGAUUUGCUGACGAGUGGCGGACGGGAGAGUAAUGUCUGGGAAACUGCCUGAUGGAGGGGGAUAACUACUGGAAACGGUAGCUAAUACCGCAUAACGUCGCAAGACCAAAGAGGGGGACCUUCGGGCCUCUUGCCAUCGGAUGUGCCCAGAUGGGAUUAGCUAGUAGGUGGGGUAAAGGCUCACCUAGGCGACGAUCCCUAGCUGGUCUGAGAGGAUGACCAGCCACACUGGAACUGAGACACGGUCCAGACUCCUACGGGAGGCAGCAGUGGGGAAUAUUGCACAAUGGGCGCAAGCCUGAUGCAGCCAUGCCGCGUGUAUGAAGAAGGCCUUCGGGUUGUAAAGUACUUUCAGCGGGGAGGAAGGGAGUAAAGUUAAUACCUUUGCUCAUUGACGUUACCCGCAGAAGAAGCACCGGCUAACUCCGUG
Molecule: ribosomal RNA, 490 nt
Filed under: uncultured bacterium
Lineage: Bacteria
Description: partial 16S ribosomal RNA
Rfam family: Bacterial small subunit ribosomal RNA
Source: RNAcentral